UACGUAGGGUGCGAGCGUUGUCCGGAAUUAUUGGGCGUAAAGAGCUCGUAGGCGGUGUGUCACGUCGGCCGUGAAAACCUGCAGCUUAACUGUGGGCGUGCGGUCGAUACGGGCAGGCUAGAGUUCGGCAGGGGAGACUGGAAUUCCUGGUGUAGCGGUGAAAUGCGCAGAUAUCAGGAGGAACACCGGUGGCGAAGGCGGGUCUCUGGGCCGAUACUGACGCUGAGGAGCGAAAGCGUGGGGAGCGAACAGG
RNAcentral lists this ribosomal RNA (253 nucleotides) under uncultured bacterium. RNAcentral's name for it is "partial 16S ribosomal RNA". It matches the Rfam family "Bacterial small subunit ribosomal RNA", at positions 524 to 776 of the family's 1533-position model. The record is from RNAcentral.